ACGCAAGCGGUUGUUGCCGGCCCGGCCGUCGGCGGUUGUUGCCGGCACGUCCGUCGCCGCCGGUGAUUGUUUCGCAUCUCGACGCCGCCGACCGCGCGCGAAGCCCCCCCGCAGAUCGACGACCUUGGAAAGGCGCGCCACCGGCUCGGCAUCUUCCCCGCUAGGGUUUAAAAUUACAGAAUAUGGAGAACUCUAUAUCUGGUAUGAUUGAGGAACAAAACGAGUACGUCGGCUAUAAUUCCGAUGACUCUGAAAUGGAGGAAAAUUUGCAGCACGAAGCCGGCUGGAGCGAAGACGAGUUUGAUAUUGCGUACGAUGAAUUUGAUAAUGAUGACAACCAUGGCGAACACACAGACGAUCAAAAUGAUGAGAACCAUGGUGAACACACA
Non-coding RNA from Lolium perenne, 389 nucleotides. The record is from RefSeq and is a predicted model, not a curated record. NCBI's taxonomy places the organism in Eukaryota, Viridiplantae, Streptophyta, Magnoliopsida, Poales, Poaceae.